GUUGGUCUCCCUGGUGGCGAUAGGUUGUGAACCCGGUCAGGUCCGGAAGGAAGCAGCCGUAGCAUCCGAUUCGGGUGCCAGGGUAAGGCUUUCGUG
This 96-nucleotide signal recognition particle RNA is filed under the name Gammaproteobacteria bacterium. RNAcentral's name for it is "signal recognition particle sRNA small type". It matches the Rfam family "Bacterial small signal recognition particle RNA". From Rfam's summary of the family: The signal recognition particle (SRP) is a universally conserved ribonucleoprotein involved in the co-translational targeting of proteins to membranes. Archaeal SRP consists of a 7S RNA and homologues of the eukaryotic SRP19 and SRP54 proteins. In most bacteria, the SRP consists of a 4.5S RNA and the Ffh protein (a homologue of the eukaryotic SRP54 protein). Lineage: Bacteria; Pseudomonadati; Pseudomonadota; Gammaproteobacteria. The record is from RNAcentral.